AGCCUGAUCCAGCCAUGCCGCGUGCGUGAAGAAGGCCUUCGGGUUGUAAACCGCUUUUGUCCGGGAAGAAAUCGCCUGGGCUAAUACCUCGGGAGGAUGACGGUACCGGAAGAAUAAGCACCGGCUAACUACGUGCCAGCAGCCGCGGUAAUACGUAGGGUGCAAGCGUUAAUCGGAAUUACUGGGCGUAAAGCGUGCGCAGGCGGUUAUGUAAGACAGAUGUGAAAUCCCCGGGCUCAACCUGGGAACUGCCUUUGUGACUGCAAAGCUUGAGUGCGGCAGAGGGGGAUGGAAUUCCACGUGUAGCAGUGAAAUGCGUAGAUAUGCGGAGGAACACCGAUGGCGAAGGCAAUCCCCUGGGCCUGUACUGACGCUCAUGCACGAAAGCGUGGGUAGCAAACAGGAUUAGAUACCCUGGUAGUCCACGCCCUAAACGAUGUCAACUGGUUGUUGGGUGGGUACCGUCUCAGUAACGAAGCUCACGCGUGAAGUUGACAGCC
This 500-nucleotide ribosomal RNA is filed under the name bacterium enrichment culture. Its description in RNAcentral is "bacterial SSU rRNA". It matches the Rfam family "Bacterial small subunit ribosomal RNA", at positions 380 to 873 of the family's 1533-position model. The record is from RNAcentral.